Long non-coding RNA from Panicum virgatum (switchgrass), 1060 nucleotides. RefSeq lists it as uncharacterized. NCBI's taxonomy places the organism in Eukaryota, Viridiplantae, Streptophyta, Magnoliopsida, Poales, Poaceae. The record is from RefSeq and is a predicted model, not a curated record. The transcript has 3 exons.
UGUGCCUUGUGAUGUUAUCUGUAUAUUCUAGGAUUCUAUCUGAGUUUUUUGAGCUUCUGUCUUGUUACGUUGCUAUUUGGAGCAUUGGAUAUGCAUGUACCUAGGUGGCGAUGUCCCUAUGAGAUAAGAUUGUACUCUAUUCCCUUUUAUUGCUGUUGAUUUGUUGUUUCUCUUCAUCAACUGAUUGAUCCUAGAUGAUUGUGAGAUUGCAGAUUUUAAUAUUCAGUUUGCAAUACAUUGGAUGGGAGCACUACCACACAGUAGGAGAGCCGUCGACCAUCGCCGCUUGUGUCACCGUGGAGGAGGGACGCAAGCUCGACCUUGGCUGUUGUAGCACUCCGCCAGACCGCUGACACAACACGGCAGCACCGGCACGGCGUCACCAGCCCUGCCUCCAGCACCUUGGCUCCUCCCACUCAUCAUAUAUCCUCUAUAAAGCUAUUGUACAAGGCAAAAACCAAGGAGGCAAGAACAGGAAGCCAAGAACAAGUAUGCAAUAGGUAUGAACCACAUUCAUAUUACUUUGUUCAUUCUUAACAGUUGAAACUGCUUUUCUUUUCUUGUUAGGCUCUAUUUAUGCCAUGUUAGCCAUAUUACUUGAUUUCAAUAACAACAGCUAGGUAUGAAUUGUUUUUUUUUCCUUUGGUGAAGGUAAUGCAAUCGUUAUUUCCCUUUGCGUAUUCAACCUGUUGUCUCCCCUUUAGUUUUGUAAGACUAAAAAUGUCUCUGUAAUUGAUUAUCAUAAGAAGCAAGUAACUCAUUUGUAGCAUUACAUUUGUCUCUGACUGCACUAGUGGUUGAUCUGUUCUCAUGCUGUCUGAUGUAGCUGCACAUUUCCAUAUUUUAACCUAUGGUCUGCUCAGUCAAUGAGAUGCUAUUUCUGUAACUCAUGCCUAAAUUAACUGAUCAUAUCUUUCUUUUCCUUGUUUUAGAUGUAAUAACGAAUUUGUAUACUGUAGACGACUAAUCUUUGCUGUACACUUAUGAUGUAUAUAUGAGGUUGAUCUUUUUGGUUAUCAUGUGGUUUGAUACGUAAAUAGGAGAGGUAUUUUCACUACUA